Long non-coding RNA from Trichomycterus rosablanca, 185 nucleotides. RefSeq lists it as uncharacterized. The transcript has 3 exons. The record is from RefSeq and is a predicted model, not a curated record. NCBI's taxonomy places the organism in Eukaryota, Metazoa, Chordata, Actinopteri, Siluriformes, Trichomycteridae.
CUCAGACAGAAAGACGUCUUUAUAUCAUCAGUAACAGUUACCGUGAGGCAUGUCUAAGUAGCCUACUGAAGUGGACUAAAGCAAAACAGAGCCCCAAAACAGUCUAGGGAAGAAAACUUCAGCCCAAGAUGUGGAUUCCAGCAAAUGUAAAACAAAGCACUUGCACAUUUUUGUUUUUGUUCAGA